Drosophila virilis is the source of this 302-nucleotide non-coding RNA. Lineage: Eukaryota; Metazoa; Arthropoda; Insecta; Diptera; Drosophilidae. The record is from RefSeq and is a predicted model, not a curated record.
UGUAGGUGUCAUGUGUUGUUUUACGGAGUAAACACAAAAAAACAAAUUGAAGAAAAGAAAAAAAAAUGGAAAAAUAAGUAAAUUAAAUGUUGUGCAAAACGAAUAAAACAUAAAUUAAAGGAACGAAACACAAGUAAUUAACAAAACGCAAAACAUUAAGCAAUUAUUGAUGAACUGGGCCUAUUGGAUAAAUACACAUAUGUAUGCAUACAAAGGUGAACACAUAAAUUGAAUUUCAAAUAUGUAUAAAUUGUUGCAGACUCUAUAAUAAAACAAGAGAAUCUUGAAAAUGAGUUAUCAAA